UGCAAUUAUGAAAUCACGUUUUGUGGAAAAUCUUUGUUCUUAUAAUUAUAAUCUGGAAUUUUUAAAUUAGAAUUUUCUGCUUAAUGUAUGACCUAGAAGUACCUCCAGACUUCUGAGCUCAUAUUCCAUUCAUAUCUAAAGUGAAAAUAGGUUUAAGGAUUUUAAUCUGCUCAAAAUGGAUUUCUGUCCGUAUCACAAAACUACAAAACAAUGAAUCACAAUUGGCAGCUUCACCAGGACCAACACCAAAUUCUCAGCCAAAAGCAUCUUGAAGUGGCACCUGCUUGCAUUAUCACAUUUCUAGACAGCAUUAUUACUGCUGAACUUCUUUAAUGAGUAUUAAAAUUACAAAAUGGUUAUGAUUAGGGAGACAGAGGCACCUUUAAAUUCUUUAGAGACAGAAUGCUUGAUUUAUCCUGGUUUGCAAACAUACAUGUUGCAAGUUCAACUUGCUGCCCAUACAGGAGGUUUGGCAAGCAAUACAAAUAGAUAAAACUGAACUAAACAAAAACAAUUACAUCCUCUCUGCUUAUCUGAGGAUGAACAUUUUGCAAGGCUUCAUUUUAUAACAUUUUAUCUGUAAUGCAACAUCAGAAAUAAAAUGGUGGCACAAAACAGAGCUACCAGAUUGAGACCCGUCAGGGACUCUGUAUUCACUGCCCAGAAGUAACACCCUUCUCUCCCCCACUUGGGUAACCUAAGGCACAGAUUCCCGCUUGCUCAUUGCCCCACUUGGAGGUGUGCUUGCUUUCUAUCAACUAAUCCAGGCCACUUCACCCCUUACAAAUCUAAUCCAAUUUCUGCAUUUCAACCAGUUUUGUUUUAAUUUAAGAGCCUUCUUCCCUCCACUGUCCAGCAACCAUAUUUAGGAUCACCUAAUUUUCUCAGAAUCACUUGUUCGCAAAACUGCAUUCAUGAGGCUGAUAAACAAAUUAAGGACAUUAACAAGAGCAAUCUUCAAUAAAAGAAAGGAAGGAGUCUCUGCAAAGCCACUGAGUAUCCCAAAUUAGAGAUAACAGUGGCUUAAGUAAGAGCUUAUUAAAAAUAAGAUAUCAAAACAUAAUGUACAGAUAUUACCGAGGUCCAAAUGCUGUGGUUCUCUCAGGAAAGAGCUGAACGCUAUUUAAAAGCAGUACUUUUAAGCAGUACUAACACACCUUGUCAGCUGGUAACUAUGGAUACUCAAUCAGCACACUGAAAGGAGUCGUUACAAGUGUCUGUUUGAUCUCUUAUUGCUCAGAAAACUGAUAUGUUAACAUGGAUGAAAGCAUCAGUAACGCGCUAAUGAUACCAACGAUUCUAUCACCACCUGAUCCAAUUAUGCAACCUGUUUUAAUGCUAUCUUGCUACUUCACAAAGCCUGCCGAUUGGAAGCACUGCAGCCAAGUAAAACUCAGCAGACAUAACAUGGUCAUACAAGCGGUCAGAGACUUUUGAGGAGAAUUAAAGAAAAAAUUCAAGGUUUCCUUUUGCUUUCUGGCUCCUUCACCUACUGAUAGGUUUCCCCAGCUAGGUGAAUCAGGUGUAUAACGUGGAGGUUUCCUGCCCAGGAGGUAAAUGUUGUGGCCAGAUCCUUUUUCUAAUCUUUGAAAUAUUCAUAGACUGAAACUACCCCCACAGGGACACAGACCUUCUCAUACCCAUCCACACUGUGGUGACUGAUAUACACAGGACUACCCUUUGUAAUGAUCAGAUGUCGUUAUAUCAGAGCCCAGCAAAAGGAGAAAUUCUCCCCAUGUGUCUCUGGCUGCUUAUUUUUCAACAAAUAUGAUGCAAUGAGCACGUUAAAAAAA
Gavialis gangeticus (Gharial) is the source of this 1793-nucleotide long non-coding RNA. RefSeq lists it as uncharacterized. NCBI's taxonomy places the organism in Eukaryota, Metazoa, Chordata, Crocodylia, Gavialidae. The transcript has 2 exons. The record is from RefSeq and is a predicted model, not a curated record.